Molecule: ribosomal RNA, 556 nt
Filed under: Schizonycha sp. SA26 DA-2012
Lineage: Eukaryota; Metazoa; Arthropoda; Insecta; Coleoptera; Scarabaeidae
Description: partial 16S ribosomal RNA
Rfam family: Bacterial large subunit ribosomal RNA
Source: RNAcentral
CGCCUGUUUAACAAAAACAUGUCUUUUUGAUUAUAAUUUAAAGUCUAACCUGCCCAAUGAGUAGUUAAAUGGCCGCGGUAACCUGACCGUGCAAAGGUAGCAUAAUCAUUAGUUUUUUAAUUGAAAGCUGGUAUGAAUGGUUGGACGAGGGAGUGGCUGUCUCGGUUUGAUUUUAUUAGAACUUUAUUGUUAAGUAAGAAAGCUUAAAUGAAUUUAAAAGACGAGAAGACCCUAUAGAGUUUUAUAUAAGUUAUGGUAGGUUUUUUAUAGUAUGUAUACAUAUAUUUACUAUAGCUUGUAUUUUGUUGGGGUGACAGAAAAAUUGAAGGAACUUUUUUUAUAGUGUACCAUUAAUUUAUGAAUCAAUGAUCCGUUAGUAGGGCGAUUAUAAGAUUAAAUUACCUUAGGGAUAACAGCGUAAUUUUUUCUGAGAGUUCUAAUCGAAGAAAGGGGUUGCGACCUCGAUGUUGGAUUAAAAUUUACUUUUGGUGCAGAAGCUAGAAGGUUAGGUCUGUUCGACCUUUAAAAUUUUACAUGAUCUGAGUUCAAACCGGAG